This 1058-nucleotide long non-coding RNA is filed under the name Homo sapiens (human). RNAcentral describes it as "LHRI_LNC1516.1". Lineage: Eukaryota; Metazoa; Chordata; Mammalia; Primates; Hominidae. The record is from RNAcentral.
CACAGGAGUCCCAGAGUAAAGUUACAUACCUAUUUCUCUUCCUUAUUUUUAUUUUUUUGGCAUGUUCAUACUAUUUUAUUACCAACAUCGUUGGCAUCCCUGAGUAUGAGAGUUCAGAAGAAACUUAGAGGCUAUUGUCUGAUUCAAUCCUUGCAGCUUACAAAAAGAAAUGUGGGGAGCAGUCACUGUGUGACUAGCCUAGGUCACUCAGGAAGUUAGAGGCAGAACUGCAGCCAGGGUCACCUCUCUUUACUGCUACUAGUGUGCUCUUUCUACUGCACCCUGAUCAUAAAACAUCUCCCAACCCAGGAACAAGGUCUACCGCAUAGGUGGGCACAGCAGCGUGAUCACUCUCUCAGUCAUCUGUACUCCUCCUUUGCUUUGACCAAAGACACAGGAAGGGACCUUUUGCCCCACAUAAAACACCUCUCAGAGGCUUUGCAACAACAACAGAUAAUAGAGAGCAUUGACCUAAGACCAACAUUUCAACCAUGGUGUCAAAACAAUAUUUUAUUUCAGCAAAGAAAAACUAUGUCACAAGUGGAUUAUUAUUACUAAUAAUCAGACUAGUGGUACUUGUGAAUGACUUGGUUUCAUACUCACACUUGGACAACUAUGCACACUGAGUAUAACUGACCUUAUGAGAACAUCAUUCUCACUAAGAUUAUGAUGUGCUUUCUCACGUGGGAACUGUACAUAAUAUUGCGUGUACACUUGGGAGGAAGUCCUGCCUGUGGUGUUGUCUUUCAGGGGAAGAAGAAUGGUUGACAAGUGAGGGUAUAUUAAACAUUUACUCCUCCAGAUUUUUCAAGAUUUCUGUUAAGCCAGAUCAGAAGAAAGCCAUCUAUUUGGAUUGCAUCACUCUAACCUGGUAAGUCGAAUUGUCUACACAGAAUUAUAAUUUCACGAUAUGUCCAGAUUACUUACCGAGAGCCAAUUUGAGACACCAACAGGACUAGUAAAACAUCUUUGCACUGUGGGUAGCGUUGCUAUCAAAGACCUUAUACAUUAUGUCAUUCAAGAACCUUUAUAUUAAGAUCCUUAUGGAAAAUCCUUCC